CGGCCAGCAGUAACACUCCGGAUAAUCGAGCUGAAAUUGUACGUUCAGCCAGGCGUUUACUGCAUUUACUGACAUCGCCUCAGGGACAUCCAAGCACAGCAAGUGAUGAAGCCACAGAUCAGGAUACAGGAGUAGAGCAACAUCGUGGUAGGAGUGAAAGUUCAGCUGCUCGGCCUGACAGACAAUCACUUCAAAUGGAAAUGGCCAGGUUAGAACUUAACACAUGUUCUAACACACAGAAUUCUGUGUUAUAGUAUAAACAACAUGUAUA
This is a long non-coding RNA of Archocentrus centrarchus (flier cichlid), 271 nucleotides long. RefSeq lists it as uncharacterized. NCBI's taxonomy places the organism in Eukaryota, Metazoa, Chordata, Actinopteri, Cichliformes, Cichlidae. The transcript has 3 exons. The record is from RefSeq and is a predicted model, not a curated record.